This 197-nucleotide non-coding RNA is filed under the name uncultured Clostridium sp. RNAcentral's name for it is "raiA RNA". It matches the Rfam family "raiA RNA". Lineage: Bacteria; Bacillati; Bacillota; Clostridia; Eubacteriales; Clostridiaceae. The record is from RNAcentral.
GUCGGGUCUGUGGUUGAAAGUCGAGGCCAGUCGCAGGCGAAACGAUCCACGUAAGUUAGAUAAAAUGUUUAAUGAUCAUGGUGCGGCUUAGAAGUAAGUCCUACCGUUUUAAAACGAGAGGUCUAGUAGUGAGAGGUUAGUUCCGGGUAGCGAAAAAUCCAGUAGGCGAGUGUGGGGGCAAAGAUCAGGUCAGCCGA